Molecule: ribosomal RNA, 332 nt
Filed under: uncultured bacterium
Lineage: Bacteria
Description: bacterial SSU rRNA
Rfam family: Bacterial small subunit ribosomal RNA
Source: RNAcentral
CGUGUAGGCGGCUAGAUAAGUCAGAUGUGAAAUCCCUGGGCUUAACCCAGGAAGUGCAUUUGAAACUGUUUGGCUUGAGUAGGGGAGAGGAAAGUGGAAUUCCUGGUGUAGAGGUGAAAUUCGUAGAUAUCAGGAGGAACACCGGUGGCGAAGGCGACUUUCUGGCCCUAUACUGACGCUGAGACGCGAAAGCGUGGGUAGCAAACAGGAUUAGAUACCCUGGUAGUCCACGCUGUAAACGAUGUUCACUAGGUGUUGGGGGUAUUGACCCCCUCAGUGCCGCAGCUAACGCAUUAAGUGAACCGCCUGGGGAGUACGGUCGCAAGACUAAA